AGCCCUGUGGCCGAGAGGAAAGGUUAGGAUUUGCAAAAUCUUUUACGUUGGUUCGAAUCCAACCGGGGCGU
RNAcentral lists this transfer RNA (71 nucleotides) under Ferruginibacter sp. Its description in RNAcentral is "tRNA-Cys". It matches the Rfam family "tRNA". Rfam says of the family: Transfer RNA (tRNA) molecules are approximately 80 nucleotides in length. Their secondary structure includes four short double-helical elements and three loops (D, anti-codon, and T loops). The record is from RNAcentral. Lineage: Bacteria; Pseudomonadati; Bacteroidota; Chitinophagia; Chitinophagales; Chitinophagaceae.